RNAcentral lists this ribosomal RNA (300 nucleotides) under uncultured Pyrobaculum sp. RNAcentral's name for it is "bacterial SSU rRNA". It matches the Rfam family "Bacterial small subunit ribosomal RNA", at positions 495 to 795 of the family's 1533-position model. The record is from RNAcentral. Lineage: Archaea; Thermoproteati; Thermoproteota; Thermoprotei; Thermoproteales; Thermoproteaceae.
UGUGAGGCUGUGCCGGCUGCGGGUGUAAGACGUGGGGUGCAGGCGUUUGUCGUAAUGAGGUGGCGGAAAGGGCGUGUCGGCGGUUGGUCAAUUCUGGUGGGAAAGCUCGGGGCUCAGCUCCAGAAGUGCGGUCGAUACUAGCCAGCUAGAGCGCGGUAGAGGAGAGGGGAAUUCCUGGUGUAGGUGUGAAAUGCGUAGAUAUCGGGAGGAACACCAGCGGCGAAUGCGGCCCUCUGGUUCGUUGCUGACGCUUAGACGCGAAAGCGUGGGGAGCAAACAGGAUUAGAUACCCUAGUAGUC